Molecule: ribosomal RNA, 941 nt
Filed under: Lactiplantibacillus plantarum
Lineage: Bacteria; Bacillati; Bacillota; Bacilli; Lactobacillales; Lactobacillaceae
Description: bacterial SSU rRNA
Rfam family: Bacterial small subunit ribosomal RNA
Source: RNAcentral
AGUAACACGUGGGAAACCUGCCCAGAAGCGGGGGAUAACACCUGGAAACAGAUGCUAAUACCGCAUAACAACUUGGACCGCAUGGUCCGAGUUUGAAAGAUGGCUUCGGCUAUCACUUUUGGAUGGUCCCGCGGCGUAUUAGCUAGAUGGUGGGGUAACGGCUCACCAUGGCAAUGAUACGUAGCCGACCUGAGAGGGUAAUCGGCCACAUUGGGACUGAGACACGGCCCAAACUCCUACGGGAGGCAGCAGUAGGGAAUCUUCCACAAUGGACGAAAGUCUGAUGGAGCAACGCCGCGUGAGUGAAGAAGGGUUUCGGUCGUAAAACUCUGUUGUUAAAGAAGAACAUAUCUGAGAGUAACUGUUCAGGUAUUGACGGUAUUUAACCAGAAAGCCACGGCUAACUACGUGCCAGCAGCCGCGGUAAUACGUAGGUGGCAAGCGUUGUCCGGAUUUAUUGGGCGUAAAGCGAGCGCAGGCGGUUUUUUAAGUCUGAUGUGAAAGCCUUCGGCUCAACCGAAGAAGUGCAUCGGAAACUGGGAAACUUGAGUGCAGAAGAGGACAGUGGAACUCCAUGUGUAGCGGUGAAAUGCGUAGAUAUAUGGAAGAACACCAGUGGCGAAGGCGGCUGUCUGGUCUGUAACUGACGCUGAGGCUCGAAAGUAUGGGUAGCAAACAGGAUUAGAUACCCUGGUAGUCCAUACCGUAAACGAUGAAUGCUAAGUGUUGGAGGGUUUCCGCCCUUCAGUGCUGCAGCUAACGCAUUAAGCAUUCCGCCUGGGGAGUACGGCCGCAAGGCUGAAACUCAAAGGAAUUGACGGGGGCCCGCUCAAGCGGUGGAGCAUGUGGUUUAAUUCGAAGCUACGCGAAGGACCUUACCAGCUCUUGACAUACUAUGCUAAUCUAGAAGAUUACACGUUCCCUUCGGGGUUACGGCCCUU